RNAcentral lists this ribosomal RNA (648 nucleotides) under uncultured bacterium. Its description in RNAcentral is "bacterial SSU rRNA". It matches the Rfam family "Bacterial small subunit ribosomal RNA", at positions 777 to 1440 of the family's 1533-position model. The record is from RNAcentral.
AUUAGAUACCCCGGUAGUCCACGCCGUAAACGAUGAUCACUAUAUAUGAAUUCGACCCUUUGUGCAUACGAAUCUAACGGGAUAAGUGAUCCGCCUGGGGAGUACGAGCGCAAGCUUAGAACUCAAAGGAAUUGACGGGGACCCGCACAAGCAGAGGAGGAUGUGGUUUAAUUCGAAGCUAAGCGAAGAACCUUACCGAGGCUUGACAUCUCUGGAAUUUUGGCGAAAGCCGAAAGUGCCUUCGGGAACCAGAUGACAGAUGCUGCAUGGCCGUCGUCAGCUCGUGUCGUGAGAUGUUGGGUUAAGUCCCGCAACGAGCGCAACCCUCGUCGUCAGUUGUAUUUUCUGGCGAGACCGCCCGGGCCAACCGGGAGGAAGGUGGGGAUGACGUCUGGUCAGCAUGGCUCUUACGCCUCGGGCUACACACGUCCUACAAUGGCCACUACAACGCGCUGCCAAACCGUAAGGUGGAGCAAAUCGCAUCAAAAGUGGUCUCAGUUCGGAUUGAGGGCUGAAACUCGCCCUCAUGAAGCUGGAUUUGCUAGUAAUGGCAGGUCAGCCAUACUGCCGUGAAUACGUUCCCGGGUCUUGUACACACCGCCCGUCUAAUCACGAAAGUUAGGAGUACCCAAAGUAUCAGCUUGCUGG